AGAGUUUGAUCCUGGCUCAGGACGAACGCUGGCGGCGUGCUUAAUACAUGCAAGUCGAACGGGGUCCAACCGGUGGCAACACCGGUGAAGACCUAGUGGCGAACGGGUGAGUAGCACGUGAGCAACCUGCCCCGAAGACUGGGAUAACACCGGGAAACCGGUGCUAAUACCGGAUGUCCCCAUCAGACCGCAUGAUCUGAUGAGGAAAGGAUUUCUGCUUCGGGAGGGGCUCGCGGCCUAUCAGCUUGAUGGUGAGGUAAUGGCUCACCAUGGCGACGACGGGUAGCUGGUCUGAGAGGACGAUCAGCCACACUGGGACUGAGACACGGCCCAGACUCCUACGGGAGGCAGCAGUAGGGAAUCUUGCGCAAUGGGCGAAAGCCUGACGCAGCAACGCCGCGCGAGGGACGAAGGCUUUCUGAGUUGUAAACCUCUUUCAGCAGGGACGAUUGUGACGGUACCUGCAGAAGAAGCACCGGCCAACUACGUGCCAGCAGCCGCGGUGAUACGUAGGGUGCGAGCGUUGUCCGGAUUUAUUGGGCGUAAAGAGCUCGUAGGCGGUUCGAUAAGUCGGGUGUGAAAUCUCCAGGCUCAACCUGGAGUCGCCACUCGAUACUGUCGUGACUAGAGUCCGGUAGGGGACCAUGGAAUUCCUGGUGUAGCGGUGAAAUGCGCAGAUAUCAGGAGGAACACCAGUAGCGAAGGCGGUGGUCUGGGCCGGCACUGACGCUGAGGAGCGAAAGCGUGGGGAGCGAACAGGAUUAGAUACCCCGGUAGUCC
RNAcentral lists this ribosomal RNA (780 nucleotides) under uncultured bacterium. RNAcentral's name for it is "bacterial SSU rRNA". It matches the Rfam family "Bacterial small subunit ribosomal RNA", at positions 8 to 796 of the family's 1533-position model. The record is from RNAcentral.